This is a non-coding RNA of Acanthosepion pharaonis, 98 nucleotides long. NCBI's taxonomy places the organism in Eukaryota, Metazoa, Mollusca, Cephalopoda, Sepiida, Sepiidae. The record is from the annotation of a GenBank genome assembly.
GGUUAUAUUAUAUUGAAACACCAGUCCCCGUACAAUUACCGAAGUUAAGCAACGUCGAACCUGGUCAGUACCUAGAUGGGUUACCGCUUGGGAAUACC